AUACGUAGGGGGCGAGCGUUGUCCGGAAUGAUUGGGCGUAAAGGGCGCGUAGGCGGCCCGGUAAGUCUGGAGUGAAAGUCCUGUUUUUAAGAUGGGAAUUGCUUUGGAUACUGUCGGGCUUGAGUGCGGGAGAGGUAAGUGGAAUUCCCAGUGUAGCGGUGAAAUGCGUAGAGAUUGGGAGGAACACCAGUGGCGAAGGCGACUUACUGGACUGUAACUGACGCUGAGGCGCGAAAGUGUGGGGAGCAAACAGGAUUAGAUACCCUGGUAGUCCACACUGUAAACGAUGAAUGCUAGGUGUAGGGGGUAUCGACCCCUUCUGUGCCGCAGUCAACACAAUAAGCAUUCCGCCUGGGGAGUACGGCCGCAAGGUUGAAACUCAAAGGAAUUGACGGGG
Molecule: ribosomal RNA, 397 nt
Filed under: uncultured bacterium
Lineage: Bacteria
Description: partial 16S ribosomal RNA
Rfam family: Bacterial small subunit ribosomal RNA
Source: RNAcentral